This 212-nucleotide long non-coding RNA is filed under the name Urocitellus parryii (Arctic ground squirrel). RNAcentral's name for it is "Prostate androgen-regulated transcript 1 conserved region 1 (ENSUPAG00010010753.1)". It matches the Rfam family "Prostate androgen-regulated transcript 1 conserved region 1". The record is from RNAcentral. Lineage: Eukaryota; Metazoa; Chordata; Mammalia; Rodentia; Sciuridae.
AGCCAGUCUCCUUCAAAAUGCAGCCUGACUAUGAUUCAUGGCCAAAAGCUAUAAUAACCCUGCCAUGUCCUGGAAGCGUUAAGAUUCAUUGCGUUGAACUUGACACAUAUACUACAGCACCUUAAAAACGAAUCAUCUGCUAGUUCAGUAUUCUUACAAUCACUCCCUCCCGGGGCAUGUAAUUAAUUUACUGCGCUUAAAAAAAAAAAAAA